Long non-coding RNA from Drosophila erecta, 438 nucleotides. RefSeq lists it as uncharacterized. The record is from RefSeq and is a predicted model, not a curated record. NCBI's taxonomy places the organism in Eukaryota, Metazoa, Arthropoda, Insecta, Diptera, Drosophilidae. The transcript has 3 exons.
CUCAAAAGUAUAUAAAAACAUUCGUUGAAAUUGGACAGGAGAUUCCGGAUAAUACGUAAUGUAUGUUAACGCAUAUGUGUAUAUGAUGUGUAUUACAAGUUUAAUUUGAUGGGAAGGUGAAAUGAAAUGCCUAAGAAAUAUAUACGAAAUCGACUGAGAGCUUCCAGCAUCUUUUGGUCAUCUAUGAAAUUUGGACACAGCUUAUUUUAUCACGAUGAUAAUCGACUUAUUAAAUCACGACUAACCAAAAAUCGAUUCGACAAAAAAGGAAUUUAAUUUUUUGGUCAGUAAGACCAUUCCAAACUUCACAAAAGGCCGCUAAUCAAAGCGAUAUGAUGUCUGAAUAUGCGCGCACUGAAGAGGAAGUUUGCUAAGCUCUACGAGAUCACACAAACUUAUUUGUAGAUGUAAUUGUAAUAUCUUUAUAAUAUAUUUAUC